RNAcentral lists this ribosomal RNA (540 nucleotides) under Bacillus subtilis. RNAcentral's name for it is "bacterial SSU rRNA". It matches the Rfam family "Bacterial small subunit ribosomal RNA", at positions 555 to 1094 of the family's 1533-position model. The record is from RNAcentral. Lineage: Bacteria; Bacillati; Bacillota; Bacilli; Caryophanales; Bacillaceae.
UGGGCGUAAGGGCUCGCAGGCGGUUUCUUAAGUCUGAUGUGAAAGCCCCCGGCUCAACCGGGGAGGGUCAUUGGAAACUGGGGAACUUGAGUGCAGAAGAGGAGAGUGGAAUUCCACGUGUAGCGGUGAAAUGCGUAGAGAUGUGGAGGAACACCAGUGGCGAAGGCGACUCUCUGGUCUGUAACUGACGCUGAGGAGCGAAAGCGUGGGGAGCGAACAGGAUUAGAUACCCUGGUAGUCCACGCCGUAAACGAUGAGUGCUAAGUGUUAGGGGGUUUCCGCCCCUUAGUGCUGCAGCUAACGCAUUAAGCACUCCGCCUGGGGAGUACGGUCGCAAGACUGAAACUCAAAGGAAUUGACGGGGGCCCGCACAAGCGGUGGAGCAUGUGGUUUAAUUCGAAGCAACGCGAAGAACCUUACCAGGUCUUGACAUCCUCUGACAAUCCUAGAGAUAGGACGUCCCCUUCGGGGGCAGAGUGACAGGUGGUGCAUGGUUGUCGUCAGCUCGUGUCGUGAGAUGUUGGGUUAACUCCCGCAACG